GCUGGCGUAACUCAAUUGGUAGAGUACCCGUUUUGUAAUCGGGUAGUUGAGGGUUCAAAUCCUUUCGUCAGCA
RNAcentral lists this transfer RNA (73 nucleotides) under Ostreobium quekettii. RNAcentral describes it as "tRNA-Thr". It matches the Rfam family "tRNA". Rfam says of the family: Transfer RNA (tRNA) molecules are approximately 80 nucleotides in length. Their secondary structure includes four short double-helical elements and three loops (D, anti-codon, and T loops). Further hydrogen bonds mediate the characteristic L-shaped molecular structure. tRNAs have two regions of fundamental functional importance: the anti-codon, which is responsible for specific mRNA codon recognition, and the 3' end, to which the tRNAs corresponding amino acid is attached (by aminoacyl-tRNA synthetases). tRNAs cope with the degeneracy of the genetic code in two manners: having more than one tRNA (with a specific anti-codon) for a particular amino acid; and 'wobble' base-pairing, i.e. permitting non-standard base-pairing at the 3rd anti-codon position. Lineage: Eukaryota; Viridiplantae; Chlorophyta; Ulvophyceae; Bryopsidales; Ostreobiaceae. The record is from RNAcentral.